Molecule: small nuclear RNA, 110 nt
Organism: Apodemus sylvaticus (European woodmouse)
Lineage: Eukaryota; Metazoa; Chordata; Mammalia; Rodentia; Muridae
Source: RefSeq, a predicted model, not a curated record
GUGCUCACUUUGGCAGCACAUACACCAAAAUUGGAAUGAUAUAGAGAAGAUAAUAGGCAUGGCCCCUGCACAAGGAUAACACGCAAAUUCAUGAAGCGUUCCACAUUAAG